GAAGCACUCAGUGCUGCUCGUGGUGAAGCCAGAGAACAACGGAAGACUUGACUUGGUGUGAUGCAACCCUUAGAAGAAUCAUCCACCCCAGUCCGUGCCAAGGAUUACUUGGGCACAUCUAUUUUCAACACCAUCUGCUGCUGCCUGCCACUUGGAGUCAUUGCAAUAAUCUACUCCUUAAGGGCGCGGGAUGCAGCUGACACUGGGGACAUGACAAAGGCUCAACAUGCUUCGCACACAGCCAAAAUCCUGAAUGCUCUUGGGAUCAUCAUUGGAUUAUCAGUGAUUACAAUCUUUAUCAUAAUGCAAAUGAAGAUUUACUUCGCUAUACAUCACUAGAACACGGCUUGGUCGGAGUAUCAGCUGGCUCUGUGAUCUUACCCUGUAUGCAGAAGCAAAUAGGAAUUUAAUUCUUAUUUGAUAAUGCAACUUGUAUCCUCAAUUAUGACAUUUCCUUCAGCUCGUAUCAUGCAAUAAAGAUCAAGUUUUAUUUGUUAUUA
Paramormyrops kingsleyae is the source of this 500-nucleotide long non-coding RNA. RefSeq lists it as uncharacterized. NCBI's taxonomy places the organism in Eukaryota, Metazoa, Chordata, Actinopteri, Osteoglossiformes, Mormyridae. The record is from RefSeq and is a predicted model, not a curated record.